This 425-nucleotide ribosomal RNA is filed under the name uncultured bacterium. Its description in RNAcentral is "bacterial SSU rRNA". It matches the Rfam family "Bacterial small subunit ribosomal RNA", at positions 355 to 774 of the family's 1533-position model. The record is from RNAcentral.
UGGGGAAUUUUGGACAAUGGGCGCAAGCCUGAUCCAGCCAUGCCGCGUGAGUGAAGAAGGCCUUCGGGUUGUAAAGCUCUUUCGGACGGGAAGAAAUGGCGGGCUCUAACAUAGCCUGUCGAUGACGGUACCGUAAGAAGAAGCACCGGCUAACUACGUGCCAGCAGCCGCGGUAAUACGUAGGGGGCAAGCGUUGUCCGGAUUUACUGGGUGUAAAGGGCGCGCAGGCGGAAUGGAAAGUCAGUGGUGAGAUCCUACAGCUUAACUGUAGAACUGCCUUUGAUACUUUCAUUCUUGAGUUCGGGAGAGAGACGGAAUUCCAGGUGUAGUGGUGAAAUACGUAGAUAUCUGGAAGAACACCUGUUGCGAAGGCGGUCUCUUGGUCCGAUACUGACGCUGAGGCGCGAAAGCGUGGGGAGCAAACA